This 147-nucleotide unclassified non-coding RNA is filed under the name uncultured Cryptosporiopsis. RNAcentral's name for it is "partial internal transcribed spacer 2". The record is from RNAcentral. Lineage: Eukaryota; Fungi; Ascomycota; Leotiomycetes; Helotiales; Dermateaceae.
ACACACUCAAGCUCUGCUUGGUAUUGGGAAUCACUGGUCACCUAGUGUACCCUAAAAUCAGUGGCAGUGCCAUUCGGCUUCAAGCGUAGUAAAUCUCUCGCUCUGGAUGUCUGGGUGGUGCCCGCCAACAACAGCCUAAAUUUUUCA